UUUCAUGCAUUUGGUCACUGGUGAGGCCAAUUCCUUGAGCAGCCUAUUUGCAGAACUGGUUCUUUGAGCUCCACUCUGCUCCACCAGCCAGGCCCCUACGUGGCAGGAGUAAUGUACCCGGCAAGGUAACAAGGAAUACAGGCCUUUCAUUGGUUCCCUACGACGUAACUUUACGGCGGAUUUGACGUGAGUAGCAGAGCUGAGCCUCGGCUGGGUUUUCCAGCUCCGCAUUUCAUCCCUUCCUGGAUACCUUGCUGAACACGCUGUUUCCUCUGGGACUACGACACUUUGAUUUCCCUUGUACAGUUCCUUCUGGAAGCUGAAGAUGAGCAGGUCCCCACUCACGAGUGCCUGCCUAGCGUCUCUGGGAGUCAGCCCGCUCAUCUCAGGGUUACUUGAGAGGGACACAUGGAGAAGCAUCUUUCAGUUGGAAAAGCAUGAUCGACGUCUACUCAUCAAGCUCCGCAAUAAUGGUGACUAUGUGUUCCUCAUCCUCAUCACGUUGCUCAGAUGUUCUCUUUAUCAAGAUUCUCCUGAUCACCAGUGACAUCUUUCUCCUCUUAGACUCCAGGCAAUAGACAGAUCGACCUCUAAGGCACCCAUCCAUGACACCUCUGUGACUGAAUGUCAAUACCCUUCUCCUUUUUAAUUCCUGGAAGUGACUUUAUGAGCCCUGGGCUCACAGGCUGCCACUCUGAAGGUGGCCAGUUUCAUUCUGCUCCUCUUUCACUAUCAUUUCUGUUCAGGAUCAUUUUUCUGUUUCAACUGUCAUCUUGAUGAAGUGGAGCAAAAGCAGUUCCUCUUCCCGAGGCUUCAGAUCAAAUUUCCAGAGAGAAAAAGCCAGGACAAAGGGCACUUGGAUAAGUAUGUACCUGUUUACACUAAAAAUCAACUUCUCACUAGGCUUAAGGUGAAGGAGGUGACACCGCCUGCAUCCCACAUAUCCCCCAGGGGCAGAGGCGGGACUCACAGCCUUGUAACAGAUCUUCCAGAGAGACACCUCCAUAAAUCCUUUUUUUCUUCACUCUGACAACUGUUCUUAUAAUUGGUUUGGCUGAUGUAAUAUGUGUGCAUU
Eubalaena glacialis (North Atlantic right whale) is the source of this 1075-nucleotide long non-coding RNA. RefSeq lists it as uncharacterized. The record is from RefSeq and is a predicted model, not a curated record. Lineage: Eukaryota; Metazoa; Chordata; Mammalia; Artiodactyla; Balaenidae. The transcript is spliced from 4 exons.